This 380-nucleotide ribosomal RNA is filed under the name uncultured Vibrio sp. Its description in RNAcentral is "bacterial SSU rRNA". It matches the Rfam family "Bacterial small subunit ribosomal RNA", at positions 370 to 742 of the family's 1533-position model. Lineage: Bacteria; Pseudomonadati; Pseudomonadota; Gammaproteobacteria; Vibrionales; Vibrionaceae. The record is from RNAcentral.
AAUGGGCGCAAGCCUGAUGCAGCCAUGCCGCGUGUAUGAAGAAGGCCUUCGGGUUGUAAAGUACUUUCAGCAGUGAGGAAGGUGGUGUCGUUAAUAGCGGCAUCAUUUGACGUUAGCUGCAGAAGAAGCACCGGCUAACUCCGUGCCAGCAGCCGCGGUAAUACGGAGGGUGCGAGCGUUAAUCGGAAUUACUGGGCGUAAAGCGCAUGCAGGUGGUUCGUUAAGUCAGAUGUGAAAGCCCGGGGCUCAACCUCGGAAUUGCAUUUGAAACUGGCGGACUAGAGUACUGUAGAGGGGGGUAGAAUUUCAGGUGUAGCGGUGAAAUGCGUAGAGAUCUGAAGGAAUACCGGUGGCGAAGGCGGCCCCCUGGACAGACACUG